Molecule: long non-coding RNA, 7784 nt
Filed under: Populus trichocarpa (black cottonwood)
Lineage: Eukaryota; Viridiplantae; Streptophyta; Magnoliopsida; Malpighiales; Salicaceae
Description: long non-coding RNA (PTRI_LNC004539)
Source: RNAcentral
AACCAUUAGUCCAUUAUUGGUCAUGAUUAGAUGUUGGUUGUGACUGUUGUAAUAGCGAUGAAUUGAGGUGACUAAUUUGAUUUUUUGUCCUCUUGGCUUUUAGGAUUGUUGAGAGUGUUGGGGAGGGUGUGACAGACCUCAAACCGGGUGACCAUGUGCUUCCUGUCUUCACAGGAGAGUGUAAGGAAUGCCGACAUUGCAAAUCAGAAGAGAGUAAUAUGUGCAAUCUUCUUAGGAUUAACACUGACAGGGGUGUGAUGCUGAAUGAUGGCAAGUCAAGGUUUUCGAUCAGAGGGCAGCCCAUUUACCAUUUUGUUGGCACCUCAACCUUUAGCGAGUACACUGUGGUUCAUGUUGGCUGUGUUGCCAAGAUCAAUCCUGCUGCUCCUCUCGACAAAGUUUGUGUUCUGAGCUGUGGAAUCUCUACAGGUGGGGAGAAAUACACGAUUUGAUAAAAAUCAUUGAAUGGGGGGAUUUGUUGCUUUCUUUUAAUGGGGAUUUCUCUUUUGACUUGUAGGUCUUGGUUCCACCUUGAAUGUUGCAAAACCAAAGAAAGGCUCUUCGAUAGCCAUUUUCGGACUGGGAGCUGUAGGCCUCGCGGUAAGUUUUUUUAUACAGGUAGAUUAAUGAUAAUGUUUUCUGUUCAAGCUGCAGGAAGUGUUAAUGCAGAACUUGUUCCUGUUGUUUUUUCCUAAUCCAGGCUGCUGAAGGGGCUCGGAUUGCUGGUGCUUCAAGAAUCAUUGGUGUCGAUUUGAAUUCCAAUAGAUUCGAUGAAGGUGAGAGAAGCUAUAAUGCUGUUCAUUGUGGCUGCUGAGCAUUUCUCUUAAAUUAUUGAUUGAUUCUUAGCUCAGUCUAAUAGCUAAUAUCACAAAACUGAUAAAUUUAAGUAGCUUUAAUGUUGAAUCUUGGUGAUAAUAACUGCUUUCUGAUGUUCAUUUGUGUUUUUUCAACAGCCAAGAAGUUUGGUGUCACUGAGUUUGUGAACCCAAAAGAUCAUAACAAGCCUGUUCAAGAGGUAAGUGACAAAGAGAAUCGUGUUCUGAGCACUAGCAUCGGCGCAUCCUUUACGCCUGUCCUAAUUUUGAUUUACUGUGUUCAGGUGAUAGCUGAAAUGACCAAUGGAGGAGUUGAUCGAAGUGUCGAGUGUACUGGAAGUGUCAAUGCCAUGAUUUCUGCAUUUGAAUGCGUCCAUGAUGGAUGGGGUGUUGCUGUACUUGUUGGUGUGCCGAACAAAGAUGAUUCUUUCAAAACCCAUCCAAUGAAUGUCCUGAAUGAGAGGACUCUCAAGGGCACCUUCUUCGGCAACUACAAACCGCGCUCCGACCUUCCUUCAGUUGUCGAGAAGUACAUGAACAAGGUAAAUCGGAGCUCCCAUUAAUAUUAUCCAGCUAACAUGUAGUGUGAGCAUAUAUUUCCAUACUUGCACAUGCGUAGUCGACUAGAAUUAACUACUCCAAUUCCUUCGUUUUAUUUUGAUACAAUCUAUUUCACUGUUAACUUCUCUAGUUGUAAUGUGACAGGAGCUGGAGCUAGAGAAAUUCAUCACCCAUGAAGUCCCUUUCUCAGAAAUCAACAAGGCUUUCGAGUACAUGCUUAGUGGAGCUGGCCUGAGGUGUAUUAUCCGUAUGGGUGCAUAAAAGAAGACUGGUUUGGUUUGCCUUGGUGUGACAGGAAACAAUAAAAUUCUUGUUUGAGAUUGUUGAUUAAAGAAGUUUUCUGUGUUUGAGCAUCAGUAUGUAAUUUCUUUCAUUGUUGAUGGCAAAAAUAAUAUAUAUAUAAUUAGCCCAUUUCUGGCAUGUAAAUAUAAAUCAAAGAAUCACAUGUUCGUUUUCUUUCAGUUUGUGUUUUUAAUGGUGCUGUGGAUAGAAAACUUUGAUAUAAAUCCUGAAGCCUGGCCAGAAUGGCAACUUCACUUGUUGGCCUGGCCAGAAUGGCAACUUCACUUGUUCUUGAUAUAACUAUGAUCCAAUGAAUCUAAAGGGAAACUAGCCAGUUCGGACAAAAUGCUGUUUGGAACCCGUUACCGAGGGCCCGAAGAUAGAGCAUGGUCUGUACAGAAUGAACUCCAAUUUUCGUAAAGCCGCUCAGUGGUGUGGUCAGAGUUCCCUCCAUCAGUUACCGGUUAAAACAUUGUUAAACAUGUACUACCAGUUGCCGGCAAGACUUAACACUGUUUGUAACGGUGAAGGACAAGAUUGAGAAUGAAAUGUUGAAAUUAGUACAAAUAAAAAUACAGAGUCCAAACUACUACAAAAUUAAAUGUAAAAAGGACCAGAUUAAGCUUCAAACUGUAGUUCUCAAUCCACGUUGUCGGUCUCACAUGGUAAUGUAUUUUAACCGAUUCUAUUCUUAAGACUUUAUGACUUGCUAUCAAAGUUCUUCACAUAACAUCAAUGGUCUACUUCUAAUCUUAUUAACUCAAGCCAUACAAGCUUUUUUUUAGUUUGCAAACUAGAUUUUCCUGUUCAUUUACUGGGAAUCCUUUUGGCUGCUUUAUGUAGAUAUUUUUCCUAUAAAUAUUCAUGAGAAGCAAUUUUCACAUUUAACUACUUAAGAUGCAAAUCUUUUGCAGCUACAAUUCCUAAUACUAGUAUGAUGGUUGUCAGCUUCACCCCUAGAAAAAUGAUAUAUGUGUAAUCGAUACCUUAUAAUUGCAUUAGAAUUGCUCCUCAAUUUUAGAAAAUAGAAUUUGAUUUUAUUAAUUUUAGAAAAUUGAAACAACAAUGACCAACAUUUACUUGGCUAAGCAUAUCCAACCCUUUUUUUCACUUUGGCAUGGAGAAUUACAGUUCGGUCCUAUAGUUUUAAUUUCCCCCCUUUUUUCCCCUCUUUUUUAUGGUUUCGGGUUUAAAUACCGAACUUCAUUUCUAUUAUGUUUUAGUCAUUGGACUUUGAGAGGAGAGAGAGACGACGGAUAAUGAGAAAAGAGAGAGAAAGAAGUUGGUCGGCCACAUUCCAGCCACUAGCAAGGCUGAUUUUGGUGUUAUUGGGUUCCUCUUAAUGGGAGGGUAGUCAUUUAAGUAUUUUUAGGCUUCCAUCUUACCGAAAAAUGCAAAUAAAGGUUAGGGAAGAGUUUACUUUCGUCAACUUUAUUUUAUGGGUUUUAAUCAAUUUAAGGUGGCUUUGAUGAUACAAGUUGAUUUAUUAGGAUUCUUGUAAUGUUUACUGGGUGGUUUUAAAUAAAAAUAUGCUAAAAAGUAGGUCUUUGGGUCCUAAAAAAAACCUUUAUCAUAACUUUUUAGCCACCUCUUUGAUGAUCAUAAAUCUAGCAAGCAAGCAGACGUGUCAUCUGCUUCAUAAAAAAAAAAAAUAACUUGUCGUCCACUCUUAAACAUUAAAAAAAAAGGGCAUAGCUUGCACACAAACUUUUAUCUUCCUUGAGCUACAUGUGUCUGCUUAAUAUUUUAGGCCUUAGACUCUUUUUAUAUCUUUUCCUAAUUUUUUCAAGCUUUUUUAUCAAGGUGCACUGUAAGUAAAAUACUUGUCAUGAUAUUUAAAUUAUUAUUCAAGAAAAAAGAAUUUUCUACUUAUGUUAUUUUUAAAUAGAUUUCUUAAUUUAUUUUAUCAUAUUAAUAGGGGUUUUUCCUUUUGUACAAAAUUUUAAGUCAUUAUUUUAGUUUUUUUUUAUUAAUACUUGCAUUUAGAUCAUAAUAUUUGUUUUUUUUAUCUAAAAAAAAUGUUUUCGAUUAAAAGAGUUUAGAUUGAAGAUAUAUUUUUUCCUAAUUAUUUCAAAUGAUCAAGAUUUUUACAAGCUUUUAUUUUAAUUAUAGAUGCUUUUUAUUAAAAAACAUUCUUCUAAUAAAAAAUCAUGUUAUUGUUUUUAAGAAGAUUAGAGCUCUUGUUUUAUAAUGAUUUCAUUUAUUGCUUUAUGGAUGAUUAUGGUAGCCUAAUAUGUAGAGUUUAUAAAAUUAUUUUCUCAUUAAAAUUGGAUGAGAAAAAAUAUCUAUUAUCUUAAUUUUUUAUUGUAAAUUUUAUAUGACUUCCUCAAAUUUAAUUUUCUAAUAUUAUUUUUAUGUAGAUAGUGUUUUAGAAUGUAACUAGAUAAUUAGCCCAUUUUACAUCACAAAUUGAACCAAAAAAAAUAUUGAGCUUAAAAAACAAUGUCAAUGUGUUUUUCAUUAGUAAGAAAAAAUAUAAUCAUUAGCUCAUAACCCAACUUAAUUGGUUAAUUUUAAAACCUUCUGAUUUAAAUACUUAUCUAGCUUGGGUAUCAAAUUAAUUUGUGUAGGAGUUGAUCUAAUAUUACCAUGUCGACUUAGUGAGUGAGAGGAAAACCUAAAUGACUGGCAAAAAUAUAGUUUGACUAAAAACAAAUUCAAGACAAUAUUUUUUUUAAAAAAUUAAUAAGUCGGUGAUAAAUUUGAUCAAUACAAGUCGCCUCCCAAACUAGCCACCCAAGUCAUAGACUCGAGUAGAUAUAAUAAGUUCAUUUUUAUACCCUUUUUUAUUUUAAUUAUAUGAUAGUAGAAAUAGACUAUGAGAAAAGAGAAUUAUGAUGGAUUGCACAAAAUAAAAACGUUUCCUAAUAUUAUAAAAACAUUACUAUUAUCUCACUCGAGAACAAAGCAAAAAUUAAAUGGAAUUUAAUAAAAUAAUAUUUAAAAUAUAUUUUUAAUUGAUUUAAUAAUUUUUAAAAUAAUUUUUAAAACAUAUUUUAAAUUAAUCUAUUUUUAAGAAAUUAAAUUAAUUGUUUUGGGGAAAACAAUUAAAAAAAAGUCCAGGUGCAAAAGCAUGCCAGCCCAGACCUACUCUUAUUUUAUUUCUUCUCCAAAUUAGCCACACGACAUGUCGUCCAUCUAACUUUUUUUUUUUAAAAAAAAAGAAACAAAUGAUGUGUUAUCUACAAACACAGUUUUUGACUAGUAGAAAGGUGGUUGUAAAAUUGAGCUGAGAUUUUUUUGAUUCGAAAAUCAUAUUUUUAACUUGUUUUCACCUAAAAAUACUCUUAUAACAUAAAAAAACAACAAAUUCAACAACUCAAAAACUCAAAAAUCUAUUAAAAAACACAAAGUCAAACAACAAAAGAUCUCUCUCUCAACGUAGAUCUAUUUUUGUUGAAAACUUGAAAGUGUAAAAACACUUUAAUGAAACUCUUUUCUUCAAGAUGAAUAUUUUGACAUCAAAUUUGGUUAUUUUUAUUAUUGAAAUUCAACCAACUGACCUCUGUCUUUUUCAUUCGUUGUUGUUUUAUGACUCCUUUCUUUUUUUAAAGAAAAAAAAAUUUGAACUAAACUAUUUAAUUACAAAACGAAAGGGACUAAAAAAGAAAUUUGAAAAUAUCCCAAAGCAAAAUUAAGCACGAGCACUCUAACACCAUUUUAUUUUCUUUUUUUAAAAGAAAAAUUAAGGUCUUCCAUUUUUUCUUUGUGUCAAUUUUAGUCCUCUCAAUUUCAAUCUUUUUCAAACAUUAAAACCAUCUUCUUUUUUUUGUAAAAUCAGAUUCUUGUUCAAUGUUGGAAUAAUUUUUUUGAGAUCGAGAUAAUCACAUAAAAAAUAGAUCAAAACAAGUUAUAAAUUCUAAUUUGCAAUUAAGACAACAUUGAAUGAUGAAAUCAAAAAGAAAAAAACUCGAUGAUUGAAAGCAAAAAAAAAAAAACGAUCAGAGUUAACACAAAAGUUUUUUUAAAAACAAAAGGGUUGCCAUUUUUUCUUUGUUUUGAUUUUGAUCUCUUUAUUUUUAUUUUCUUACAAACAAUAAAAAAGAAAUUAUGAAAUCGAGCAACAACAUGAUGUUGACAUGUUUUAUUGAGAUCUCAAUAACAAUAUAAAAAACAAAUAAAAAUAAAUCAUUAAUUCCAAAUCCAAACCAACAUAAUAUCAAAAAAUAAAAUUAAAAAAAAUCAAUAAUUAAAAAAAAACAAAACAAAGAAAAAAAAAGUGAGAGAGAAAAAUGCUUCAAUCCUCAUUGUAAUGUGAGGAGGGACAGUUUUCUCUGCACCUUUUAUGUUUUUUUUAUUUUAAUCAAGUCGUAGCAUAGAUUUAAGUGGUUAUUUUUUCACCGAAUGGGGAUUUAUAAACAUUUUUUUGGUGGUAAAAAUGAAUAAAAAAAUGUUUGGAAAAUAAAUAAAAGUGUUUUCUCGAGGCACUUAAAAUCAAAUACUUUUUGAAUUUUCCAGAGAAAUUUUCAGAGAAUUGCUGUGUUUAUCUCUAUAAAAGAAACCUUCUGGCAGCGUAAACCUCAUUAAAAAUCAAUAAAGGUAAUUUAUUAGGAGUCCGGCUGUAUUACAAUGUUCUAAAAGGUCAACUGCCUGGCUCAGCAGUAAAAUAAGAUACAAACAGCAAAACCACAACUGGAAAUACAAAACUAGAAUGCUAAUUGCAAAUCAACCCUUCAAUCAAGAUAUAGAUUUCAAUUAAAUGUCAAAAAAAUACUUUCUUGCAAUUUCACCAUCAAACCAUCAAUCACUUAAAAAUCAGUUCCUUACCAUGUGAUUGUAUUUUGGGUGUCAAGACCUACUUGCUAUCAUAACUUUAAUUAAGAAAAAACUACCCUACAAGAAUUUUCAAUCACAUAAAUAAAAAUAAAAUAAAACUUCUAUAUAGUCUGAAAAAUUGUGAUCUCAACCAAAUUUUUGUAUAAACUACAAAACUCUCUCUCUUUUUUUUCUUUUUCAAGAAUGUUUUGCGUAGGAAAAUUAUUAAAAUUGAUAGGUUUUUUGUAAAGAAAUACAGUGACAUUUGAACGAUAAAUUUGCAAAAAUUGUUUUAGCAGAUUGUAUUAAAACGUAUAGUAUAGUUUGAGGACUGGUUUAUAGUUAGCCAAAACCAGACACAGCGAGAAAGCCAGAAACAGGGGGAGCCGUUGUUGCCACCAAGAGAGAGAAACAGAGGACAAAUGAAACAACAGGAUCGUAAAUGGUUUUCUUUUAAGAAAUAUUCAAAUUUAUGGUCAACAUAAUCCAAAAAACAGGAGAGAUAUGCGUACUUCUGCAACUAUAAAUACCUCCAAAGACAACCUGUCUCGUCACAACUCAAGAAACAGAGCAAAGUAAUCAAAGAAGCGUUAAAGAAGGGUCUAAAGUUCGUUUAAAACAAAUAUGUCGAGCACUGCUGGUCAAGUCAUAUGUUGCAAAGGUAACCAAGAAAGUUCAUGAUUCCUUGUGGGGUCUGUGAUAUGUUCUAUGUGCUGUUGUCAUUUUGUGUAUUUGGAUUUCUCAUUUAUGUCUGGCAAUGACUUGAUGCAAUUUGCUUAAUCUGUAGCUGCUGUGGCAUGGGAAGCUGGGAAGCCACUGGUAAUAGAAGAAGUGGAGGUGGCUCCUCCUCAAGCUAUGGAGGUUCGUUUGAAGAUCCUCUUUACCUCCCUCUGCCACACUGAUGUUUACUUCUGGGAAGCCAAGGUGACUGCAUUUUCAAUUGUGAUUAUUAUGUCUGCUCAUUGGUCUUUUUAUAAUUCAUGCUAGUAGAGAUUUAUGCUUACGAAAAUGGGCUGUGAAAUUGCAGGGUCAAACCCCAUUGUUUCCUCGAAUAUUUGGUCAUGAAGCAGGAGGGUAUGAAUUUGAACCAUUAGUCCAUUAUUGGUCAUGAUUAGAUGGUGGUUCUGACUGUUGUAAUAGCGAUGAAUUGAGGUGACUAAUUUGAUCUUUUGUCCUCUUGGCUUUUAGGAUUGUUGAGAGUGUUGGGGAGGGUGUGACAGACCUCAAACCCGGUGACCAUGUGCUUCCUGUCUUCACAGGAGAGUGUAAGGAAUGCCGACAUUGCAAAUCAGAAGAGAGUAAUAUGUGCGAUCUUCUUAGGAUUAACACUGACAGGGGUGUGAUGCUGAAUGAUGGCAAGUCAAGGUUUUC